This 533-nucleotide ribosomal RNA is filed under the name Katatopygia sahlbergi. RNAcentral's name for it is "partial 16S ribosomal RNA". It matches the Rfam family "Bacterial large subunit ribosomal RNA", at positions 1831 to 2620 of the family's 2925-position model. Lineage: Eukaryota; Metazoa; Arthropoda; Insecta; Diptera; Mycetophilidae. The record is from RNAcentral.
UCUUUUUGUAAUUUAUUUAAAGUCUAACCUGCCCAUUGAAUAAUUUUUAAAAGGCUGCGGUAUUUUGACCGUACAAAGGUAGCAUAAUCAUUAGUUUUUUAAUUGAAAACUCGUAUGAAUGGUUGAACGAAAUAUUUUCUGUUUCAUAAAAAUUUAUAUAGAAAUUAAUUUUUUAGUUAAAAAGCUAAAAUAUCUUUAAAAGACGAGAAGACCCUAUAGAGUUUUAUAUAAAUUAAAUUAUAAUUUAUUUAUAAUAAUUAAAAUUUUAUUUUAUUUUAUAUUUUGUUGGGGUGACAGUAAAAUUUCAUAAUCUUUUAUUAUUUUUUAACAAUGAUUUUUGAAUAAUUGAUCCAUUUUUAAUGAUUAAAAGAUUAAAUUACCUUAGGGAUAACAGCGUAAUUUUUUUGUAGAGUUCUUAUCGAUAAAAAAUUUUGCGACCUCGAUGUUGGAUUAAGAAUAAUUUUAGGUGUAGAAGCUUAUUAAUUAGGUCUGUUCGACCUUUAAAUUCUUACGUGAUCUGAGUUCAGACCGGA